AACGAACGCUGGCGGCAUGCCUAACACAUGCAAGUCGAACGAGACCUUCGGGUCUAGUGGCGCACGGGUGCGUAACGCGUGGGAACCUGCCCUUAGGUUCGGAAUAACUCCCCGAAAGGGGUGCUAAUACCGGAUAAUGUCUUCGGACCAAAGAUUUAUCGCCUUUGGAUGGGCCCGCGUUGGAUUAGCUAGUUGGUAGGGUAAAAGCCUACCAAGGCGACGAUCCAUAGCUGGUCUGAGAGGAUGAUCAGCCACACUGGGACUGGGACACGGCCCAGACUCCACCGGGGGGCAGCAGUGGGGAUAAUUGGACAUGGGGCGAAGGCCUGAUCCGCCAAGGCCGGGUGGGUGAGGAGGGCUUUGGGUUUGAAAGGCCCUUUACCCGGGAUGAUAAUGACAGUACCGGGAGAAUAAGCUCCGGCUAACUCCGUG
Molecule: ribosomal RNA, 432 nt
Filed under: uncultured bacterium
Lineage: Bacteria
Description: partial 16S ribosomal RNA
Rfam family: Bacterial small subunit ribosomal RNA
Source: RNAcentral